Molecule: ribosomal RNA, 1401 nt
Filed under: bacterium NLAE-zl-P412
Lineage: Bacteria
Description: bacterial SSU rRNA
Rfam family: Bacterial small subunit ribosomal RNA
Source: RNAcentral
ACCAUGCAGUCGAGGGGCAGCAUUUCAGUUUGCUUGCAAACUGGAGAUGGCGACCGGCGCACGGGUGAGUAACACGCUAUCCAACCUGCCGAUAACUCGGGGAUAGCCUUUCGAAAGAAAGAUUAAUACCCGAUGGUAUAAUCAGACCGCAUGGUCUUAUUAUUAAAGAAUUUCGGUUAUCGAUGGGGAUGCGUUCCAUUAGGCAGUUGGUGAGGUAACGGCUCACCAAACCUUCGAUGGAUAGGGGUUCUGAGAGGAAGGUCCCCCACAUUGGAACUGAGACACGGUCCAAACUCCUACGGGAGGCAGCAGUGAGGAAUAUUGGUCAAUGGGCGCAGGCCUGAACCAGCCAAGUAGCGUGAAGGAUGACUGCCCUAUGGGUUGUAAACUUCUUUUAUAUGGGAAUAAAGUUUUCCACGUGUGGAAUUUUGUAUGUACCAUAUGAAUAAGGAUCGGCUAACUCCGUGCCAGCAGCCGCGGUAAUACGGAGGAUCCGAGCGUUAUCCGGAUUUAUUGGGUUAAAAGGGAGCGUAGGUGGACAGUUAAGUCAGUUGUGAAAGUUUGCGGCUCAACCGUAAAAUUGCAGUUGAUACUGGCUGUCUUGAGUACAGUAGAGGUGGGCGGAAUUCGUGGUGUAGCGGUGAAAUGCUUAGAUAUCACGAAGAACUCCGAUUGCGAAGGCAGCUCACUGGACUGCAACUGACACUGAUGCUCGAAAGUGUGGGUAUCAAACAGGAUUAGAUACCCUGGUAGUCCACACAGUAAACGAUGAAUACUCGCUGUUUGCGAUAUACAGUAAGCGGCCAAGCGAAAGCAUUAAGUAUUCCCACCUGGGGAGUACGCCGGCAACGGUGAAACUCAAAGGAAUUGACGGGGGCCCGCACAAGCGGAGGAACAUGUGGUUUAAUUCGAUGAUACGCGAGGAACCUUACCCGGGCUUAAAUUGCAUUUGAAUAAUNUGGAAACAGGUUAGCCGCAAGGCAAAUGUGAAGGUGCUGCAUGGUUGUCGUCAGCUCGUGCCGUGAGGUGUCGGCUUAAGUGCCAUAACGAGCGCAACCCUUAUCUUUAGUUACUAACAGGUCAUGCUGAGGACUCUAGAGAGACUGCCGUCGUAAGAUGUGAGGAAGGUGGGGAUGACGUCAAAUCAGCACGGCCCUUACGUCCGGGGCUACACACGUGUUACAAUGGGGGGUACAGAAGGCAGCUACCUGGUGACAGGAUGCUAAUCCCAAAAGCCUCUCUCAGUUCGGAUCGAAGUCUGCAACCCGACUUCGUGAAGCUGGAUUCGCUAGUAAUCGCGCAUCAGCCAUGGCGCGGUGAAUACGUUCCCGGGCCUUGUACACACCGCCCGUCAAGCCAUGAAAGCCGGGGGUACCUGAAGUACGUAACCGCAAGGAGCUC